This 505-nucleotide ribosomal RNA is filed under the name uncultured bacterium. Its description in RNAcentral is "partial 16S ribosomal RNA". It matches the Rfam family "Bacterial small subunit ribosomal RNA", at positions 28 to 507 of the family's 1533-position model. The record is from RNAcentral.
GAUGAACGCUGGCGGCGUGCCUAAUACAUGCAAGUCGAGCGCGACUGAUUACACCGUUCUUCGGAACACCGUAAUCAUCGAGCGGCGGACGGGUGAGUAACACGUGGGCAACCUACCCUUAAGACUGGGAUAACCGCGGGAAACCGUGGCUAAUACCGGAUAAUACUUUUAUACAACGGUAUAGAAGUUGAAAGGUGGAUUUCUAUCACUUAAGGAUGGGCCUGCGGCGCAUUAGCUGGUUGGUAAGGUAACGGCUUACCAAGGCGACGAUGCGUAGCCGACCUGAGAGGGUGAUCGGCCACACUGGAACUGAGACACGGUCCAGACUCCUACGGGAGGCAGCAGUAGGGAAUCUUCCGCAAUGGGCGAAAGCCUGACGGAGCAACGCCGCGUGUGCGAAGAAGGUCUUCGGAUCGUAAAGCACUGUUGUUAAGGAAGAACGACAGUAAGAGUAACUGUUUACUGUGUGACGGUACUUAACCAGAAAGCCACGGCUAACUACGGG